Molecule: ribosomal RNA, 903 nt
Filed under: uncultured Campylobacteraceae bacterium
Lineage: Bacteria; Pseudomonadati; Campylobacterota; Epsilonproteobacteria; Campylobacterales; Campylobacteraceae
Description: bacterial SSU rRNA
Rfam family: Bacterial small subunit ribosomal RNA
Source: RNAcentral
GCCUAACACAUGCAAGUCGAACGAGAACGGAUAUUAGUUUACUAAUAUUGUCAGCUAAGUGGCGCACGGGUGAGUAAUAUAUAGUUAACCUGCCUCAAAGAAGGGAAUAAUUGUUGGAAACGACUUGUAAUGCCCUAUAUGCCUUUAUGACAAAAGUCAGCAAGGGAAAUAUUUAUAGCUUUGAGAUGGGACUGUACGGUAUCAGAUAGUUGGUGAGGUAAUGGCUUACCAAGUCUAUGACGCCUAACUGGUUUGAGAGGAUGAUCAGUCACACUGGAACUGAGACACGGUCCAGACUCCUACGGGAGGCAGCAGUGGGGAAUAUUGCACAAUGGAGGGAACUCUGAUGCAGCAACGCCGCGUGGAGGAUGACACAUUUCGGUGCGUAAACUCCUUUUAUAUAAGAAGAUAAUGACGGUAUUAUAUGAAUAAGCACCGGCUAACUCCGUGCCAGCAGCCGCGGUAAUACGGGGGGUGCAAGCGUUACUCGGAAUCACUGGGCGUAAAGAGCAUGUAGGCUGGUAGAAAAGUUGGAAGUGAAAUCCUAUGGCUUAACCAUAGAACUGCUUCCAAAACUCUCUACCUAGAAUAUGGGAGAGGUAGAUGGAAUUUCUGGUGUAGGGGUAAAAUCCGUAGAGAUCAGAAGGAAUACCGAUUGCGAAGGCGAUCUACUGGAACAUUAUUGACGCUCAGAUGAGAAAGCGUGGGGAGCAAACAGGAUUAGAUACCCUGGUAGUCCACGCCCUAAAUGAUGCACACUAGUUGUUGCCAUACUAGAUAUGGCAGUAAUGCAGUUAACACAUUAAGUGUGCCGCCUGGGGAGUACGGUCGCAAGAUUAAAACUCAAAGGAAUAGACGGGGACCCGCACAAGCGGUGGAGCAUGUGGUUUAAUUCGACGAUAC